Molecule: unclassified non-coding RNA, 205 nt
Filed under: uncultured Endogonomycetes
Lineage: Eukaryota; Fungi; Mucoromycota; Endogonomycetes
Description: sequence contains ITS2
Source: RNAcentral
UGAACAUCUCAAAUCAUUUUGGAGUUGGGCUUUUUUGUUGUGAAAAUAUGGUGCUUUUGUCGCCAACACAACUGGCCUGAAAUUUGUGUCAAAACAAAUGCAAGAAAAUAUGUGGGUGCUUGUUGCUAAAGACGAAAAGCUAAUUAGUUGACCGUGGUCAAACAUUGCUGACUAGUCUUCAAAAACUAGGUAACCCACAUUCACA